CCUACGGGGGGCUGCAGUGGGGAAUAUUGCACAAUGGGCGCAAGCCUGAUGCAGCGACGCCGAGUGAGCGAUGAAGGCCUUCGGGUCGCAAAGCUCUGUCCUAAGGGAAGAAUAAUGACGGUACCUUAGGAGGAAGCCCCGGCUAACUACGUGCCAGCAGCCGCGGUAAUACGUAGGGGGCGAGCGUUAUCCGGAAUCACUGGGCGUAAAGGGUGCGUAGGCGGCCCUGCAAGUCCGGAGUUAAAUCUCUCGGCUCAGCCGAGGUUAGCUCUUGAAACUGUAGGGCUUGAGUGCAGGGGAGGCGGGCGGAAUUCCGAGUGUAGCGGUGAAAGGCGUAGAUAUUAGGUGGAGCACCAGUGGCGAAGGCGGCUCUCUGGACUGCAACUGACGCUGUGGCACGAAAGCGUGGGGAGCGAACAGGAUUAGAUACCCGGGUAGUC
This 440-nucleotide ribosomal RNA is filed under the name uncultured bacterium. RNAcentral describes it as "bacterial SSU rRNA". It matches the Rfam family "Bacterial small subunit ribosomal RNA", at positions 338 to 795 of the family's 1533-position model. The record is from RNAcentral.